AGAGUUUGAUCCUGGCUCAGGACGAACGCUGGCGGCGUGCCUAAUACAUGCAAGUCGAACGGUUUAGUUAUCUGUCAUCAGAAGUCAGACGUUGGGUAAGAGCGAAGAGCCUGGGGUAACACCUAGGGGAAGAGUGAAAGGCCUGGCGGCUGGAAGCUGAUGAUGGACGACUGGAUAGUGGCGGACGGGUGAGUAACACGUGAGCAACCUACCUUGUACAGGAGGACAACAGUUGGAAACGGCUGCUAAUACUCCAUAAGACCGAGUCUGCGCAUGCAGGAGCGGUCAAAGGUGAAAGCCGGUACAAGAUGGGCUCGCGUCCCAUUAGCUAGUUGGCGGGGUAAAGGCCCACCAAGGCGACGAUGGGUAGCCGGCCUGAGAGGGUGAACGGCCACACUGGGACUGAGACACGGCCCAGACUCCUACGGGAGGCAGCAGUAGGGAAUAUUGCGCAAUGGGGGAAACCCUGACGCAGCGACGCCGCGUGAGCGAUGAAGGCCUUCGGGUCGUAAAGCUCUGGCUUUGGGGACGAGAAGAAGACGGUACCCAAGGAGGAAGCCCCGGCAAACUACGUGCCAGCCGCCGCGGUAAUUC
Molecule: ribosomal RNA, 594 nt
Filed under: uncultured bacterium
Lineage: Bacteria
Description: bacterial SSU rRNA
Rfam family: Bacterial small subunit ribosomal RNA
Source: RNAcentral